AGUGAACGCUGGCGGUAGGCCUAACACAUGCAAGUCGAACGGCAGCACAGUAAGAGCUUGCUCUUACGGGUGGCGAGUGGCGGACGGGUGAGGAAUACAUCGGAAUCUACUUUUUCGUGGGGGAUAACGUAGGGAAACUUACGCUAAUACCGCAUACGACCUACGGGUGAAAGCAGGGGAUCUUCGGACCUUGCGCGAUUGAAUGAGCCGAUGUCGGAUUAGCUAGUUGGCGGGGUAAAGGCCCACCAAGGCGACGAUCCGUAGCUGGUCUGAGAGGAUGAUCCGCCAAACUGGAAUUGAGACACGGUCCAGACUCCUACGGGAGGCAGCAGUGGGGAAUAUUGGACAAUGGGCGCAAGCCUGAUCCAGCCAUACCGCGUGGGUGAAGAAGGCCUUCGGGUUGUAAAGCCCUUUUGUUGGGAAAGAAAAGCAGCAGGUUAAUACCCCGCUGUUCUGACGGUACCCAAAGAAUAAGCACCGGCUAACUUCGUG
This 492-nucleotide ribosomal RNA is filed under the name uncultured bacterium. RNAcentral describes it as "partial 16S ribosomal RNA". It matches the Rfam family "Bacterial small subunit ribosomal RNA", at positions 29 to 507 of the family's 1533-position model. The record is from RNAcentral.